CAUAUCAAUAAGCGGAGGAAAAGAAACCAACAGGGAUUGCCCCAGUAACGGCGAGUGAAGCGGCAACAGCUCAAAUUUGAAAUCUGGCCCCCGGGUCCGAGUUGUAAUUUGCAGAGGAUGCUUCGGGCGAGGUGCCUUCCGAGUUCCCUGGAACGGGACGCCACAGAGGGUGAGAGCCCCGUCUGGUCGGACACCGAGCCCGUGUGAAGCUCCUUCGAAGAGUCGAGUAGUUUGGGAAUGCUGCUCAAAACGGGAGGUAUAUGUCUUCUAAAGCUAAAUAUUGGCCAGAGACCGAUAGCGCACAAGUAGAGUGAUCGAAAGAUGAAAAGCACUUUGAAAAGAGGGUUAAAAAGUACGUGAAAUUGUUGAAAGGGAAGCGCCCAUGACCAGACUUGGGCCCGGUGAAUCACCCGGCGUUCUCGCCGGUGCACUUUGCCGGGCACAGGCCAGCAUCAGUUUGGCGCGGGGGAGAAAGGCUUCGGGAACGUGGCUCCCUCGGGAGUGUUAUAGCCCGCUGCGCAAUACCCUGCGCCGGACUGAGGUACGCGCAUCGCAAGGAUGCUGGCGUAAUGGUCAUCAGCGACCCGUCUUGAAACACGGACCAAGGAGUCGUCUUCGUAUGCGAGUGUUCGGGUGUCAAACCCCUACGCGGAAUGAAAGUGAACGCAGGUGAGAGCUUCGGCGCAUCAUCGACCGAUCCUGAUGUUCUCGGAUGGAUUUGAGUAAGAGCAUACGGGGCCGGACCCGAAAGAAGGUGAACUAUGCCUGUAUAGGGUGAAGCCAGAGGAAACUCUGGUGGAAGCUCGCAGCGGUUCUGACGUGCGAAUCGAUCGUCAAAUAUGGGCAUGGGGGCGAAAGACUAAUCGAACCUUCUAGUAGCUGGUUUCCG
Molecule: ribosomal RNA, 889 nt
Filed under: Cordyceps fumosorosea
Lineage: Eukaryota; Fungi; Ascomycota; Sordariomycetes; Hypocreales; Cordycipitaceae
Description: partial large subunit ribosomal RNA
Rfam family: Eukaryotic large subunit ribosomal RNA
Source: RNAcentral